AAUGAACCGGCGAGUUACGAUUUGAUGCAAGGUUAAGCAGUAAAUGUGGAGCCGUAGCGAAAGCGAGUCUGAAUAGGGCGUUUAGUAUUUGGUCGUAGACCCGAAACCAGGUGAUCUACCCUUGGUCAGGUUGAAGUUCAGGUAACACUGAAUGGAGGACCGAACCGACUUACGUUGAAAAGUGAGCGGAUGAACUGAGGGUAGCGGAGAAAUUCCAAUCGAACCUGGAGAUAGCUGGUUCUCUCCGAAAUAGCUUUAGGGCUAGCCUCAAGUGAUGAUUAUUGGAGGUAGAGCACUGUUUGGACGAGGGGCCCCUCUCGGGUUACCGAAUUCAGACAAA
RNAcentral lists this ribosomal RNA (340 nucleotides) under Staphylococcus aureus. RNAcentral describes it as "partial 23S ribosomal RNA". It matches the Rfam family "Bacterial large subunit ribosomal RNA", at positions 614 to 953 of the family's 2925-position model. The record is from RNAcentral. Lineage: Bacteria; Bacillati; Bacillota; Bacilli; Caryophanales; Staphylococcaceae.